CCUACGGGUGGCAGCAGUGGGGAAUAUUGGACAAUGGGCGAAAGCCUGAUCCAGCCAUGCCGCGUGUGUGAAGAAGGCCUUCGGGUUGUAAAGCACUUUCAGUGGGGAAGAAAGCCUUGGGGCUAAUACCCUCGAGGAAGGACAUCACCCACAGAAGAAGCACCGGCUAACUCCGUGCCAGCAGCCGCGGUAAUACGGAGGGUGCGAGCGUUAAUCGGAAUUACUGGGCGUAAAGCGCGCGUAGGCGGUCUGAUAAGCCGGUUGUGAAAGCCCCGGGCUCAACCUGGGAACGGCAUCCGGAACUGUCAGGCUAGAGUGCAGGAGAGGAAGGUAGAAUUCCCGGUGUAGCGGUGAAAUGCGUAGAGAUCGGGAGGAAUGCCAGUGGCGAAGGCGGCCUUCUGGACUGACACUGACGCUGAGGUGCGAAAGCGUGGGUAGCAAACAGGAUUAGAUACCCCGGUAGUC
Molecule: ribosomal RNA, 465 nt
Filed under: Vreelandella stevensii
Lineage: Bacteria; Pseudomonadati; Pseudomonadota; Gammaproteobacteria; Oceanospirillales; Halomonadaceae
Description: partial 16S ribosomal RNA
Rfam family: Bacterial small subunit ribosomal RNA
Source: RNAcentral